RNAcentral lists this transfer RNA (63 nucleotides) under Sinodendron yunnanense. RNAcentral's name for it is "tRNA-His". Lineage: Eukaryota; Metazoa; Arthropoda; Insecta; Coleoptera; Lucanidae. The record is from RNAcentral.
AUUUAAGUAGUUUAAAAAAAAUUUAAGUUUGUGAUGCUUAGGAUGUAGAAAUUACCUUAGAUA